CCAAUAGCGUAUAUUAAAGUUGUUGCAGUUAAAAAGCUCGUAGUUGAAUUUCGAGAUCAAAUUGUUGGUCGUGCCUCGGUACGUACUGGCAUUAUUGAUUUCUCCCUUCUGAAGAACCUUGAUGUCAUUAAUUUGGUGUCUUGGGGAAUCAGGACCGUUACUUUGAAAAAAUUAGAGUGUUUAAAGCAGGCUCACGCUUGAAUACAUUAGCAUGGAAUAAUGAAAUAGGACGUUUGAUUCUAUUUUGCUGGUUUCUAGGAUCGACGUAAUGAUUAAUAGGGAUAGUUGGGGGCAUUAGUAUUCAAUUGUCAGAGGUGAAAUUCUUGGAUUUAUUGAAGACUAACUACUGCGAAAGCAUUUGCCAAGGAUGUUUUCAUUAAUCAAGAACGAAAGUUAGGGGAUCGAAGACGAUCAGAUACCGUCGUAGUCUUAACCAUAAACUAUGCCGACUAGGGAUCGGAUGAUGUUAAUUUUUUAAUGACUCAUUCGGCGCCUUACG
RNAcentral lists this ribosomal RNA (499 nucleotides) under uncultured Glomeromycotina. RNAcentral describes it as "partial small subunit ribosomal RNA". It matches the Rfam family "Eukaryotic small subunit ribosomal RNA", at positions 591 to 1092 of the family's 1831-position model. Lineage: Eukaryota; Fungi; Glomeromycota. The record is from RNAcentral.